RNAcentral lists this unclassified non-coding RNA (297 nucleotides) under Hevea brasiliensis (rubber tree). Lineage: Eukaryota; Viridiplantae; Streptophyta; Magnoliopsida; Malpighiales; Euphorbiaceae. The record is from RNAcentral.
GUCUAGGCGAAGAAUAUCCAUUUGCAAAUUGUAAGUGGCUGCGGUUUCAUAAGUGAAUGAGUUGAUCUCAGGGAAAACAGUCGGGGUCUCAAAAUAUAUUGUCCGUAUUGGAAAUGAGUUUUCACCAUCAGCAACAUCUUGUGAACUACUUUCUUCCGCUUUAUGCAGAACAUAGCCUGCUCUCAGUAGGUGAAGCAAAACAGUAGAAUCUUUUCCUCCGUUGAAGCUCAAUGCAACCUCUUGUAUGGAAUACAGAGCGAGUGCUCGUUUGAUAACAUAUAUGGCAUUAGAAUACUU